AGAGUUUGAUCCUGGCUCAGGAUGAACGCUGGCGGUCUGCUUAACACAUGCAAGUCGAACGGGCUCUUCGGAGCUAGUGGCGGACGGGUGAGUAACGCGUGAGAAUCUGCCUUCAGGAGGGGGAUAACGACUGGAAACGGUCGCUAAUACCCCAUAUGCCUCUGGGUGAAAAGUAAUUCGCCUGAAGAUGAGCUCGCGUCAGAUUAGCUAGUUGGUGGGGUAAGAGCCUACCAAGGCGACGAUCUGUAGCUGGUCUGAGAGGAUGAUCAGCCACACUGGGACUGAGACACGGCCCAGACUCCUACGGGAGGCAGCAGUGGGGAAUUUUCCGCAAUGGGCGCAAGCCUGACGGAGCAAGACCGCGUGGGGGAUGACGGCCUAAUGGUUGUAAACCCCUUUUCUCUGGGAAGAAGACUGACGGUACCAGAGGAAUCAGCCUCGGCUAACUCCGUGCCAGCAGCCGCGGUAAUACGGAGGAGGCAAGCGUUAUCCGGAAUUAUUGGGCGUAAAGCGUCCGUAGGUGGUUAUUCAAGUCUGCUGUCAAAGCGUGGGGCUUAACUCCAUAGAGGCAGUGGAAACUGAGUGACUAGAGUGCGGUAGGGGUCGAGGGAAUUCCCAGUGUAGCGGUGAAAUGCGUAGAUAUUGGGAAGAACACCAGUGGCGAAAGCGCUCGACUGGGCCUGCACUGACACUGAGGGAC
Molecule: ribosomal RNA, 700 nt
Filed under: uncultured bacterium
Lineage: Bacteria
Description: bacterial SSU rRNA
Rfam family: Bacterial small subunit ribosomal RNA
Source: RNAcentral